GACGUAGGAGGCGAGCGUUAUCCGGAUUCACUGGGCGUAAAGGGCAUGUAGGCGGCUGGACAAGUCCUUCGUGAAAGCCCCCGGCUCAACUGGGGGAGGACGGAGGAGACUGUUCGGCUUGAGGGUAGCAGAGGUCGGUGGAACUCCCGGUGUAGCGGUGGAAUGCGUAGAGAUCGGGAAGAACAUCAGUGGCGAAGGCGACCGACUGGGCUGCAACUGACGCUGAAAUGCGAAAGUGUGGGGAGCAAACGGG
This 253-nucleotide ribosomal RNA is filed under the name uncultured bacterium. Its description in RNAcentral is "partial 16S ribosomal RNA". It matches the Rfam family "Bacterial small subunit ribosomal RNA", at positions 524 to 776 of the family's 1533-position model. The record is from RNAcentral.